Molecule: ribosomal RNA, 491 nt
Filed under: uncultured bacterium
Lineage: Bacteria
Description: partial 16S ribosomal RNA
Rfam family: Bacterial small subunit ribosomal RNA
Source: RNAcentral
AGUGAACGCUGGCGGUAGGCCUAACACAUGCAAGUCGAGCGGCAGCACAGUAAGAGCUUGCUCUUACGGGUGGCGGGUGGCGGACGGGUGAGGAAUACAUCGGAAUCUACUUUUUCGUGGGGGAUAACGUAGGGAAACUUACGCUAAUACCGCAUACGACCUACGGGUGAAAGCAGGGGAUCUUCGGACCUUGCGCGAUUGAAUGAGCCGAUGUCGGAUUAGCUAGUUGGCGGGGUAAAGGCCCACCAAGGCGACGAUCCGUAGCUGGUCUGAGAGGAUGAGCGGCCCCACUGGAGUGAAGACAGGGCCCACCCCCCCGCGGGAGCAGCCGGUGGGAAUGUUGGAAAAAGGGGCGAAGCCUGUACCCACCCAGCCCGGGUGGGAAAAGAAGCCUUUGGGUUUUAAACCCCUUUUUGUGGGAAAAAAAAAGCAGCGGGUUAACACCCCGCUGUUCGGACGGUACCAAAAGAAUAAGCACCGCCUAUCUGCGU